CCCCCUUAUCUGUUGGCAAGGAGGGACCUGACUUGGUUUCAAGCAGGAAGAACUGGAGCAGAGGUGUGGAAAGGCUGAGGGAGAAGAGCUCAGCUUGGCACAGGGAGAGAUGGAUGUCUUGGUGUGUUUCUGGUUUUACCCUCACUUGUACAGCCAGUAUUUGGGCACAUGGAAUAUUGAUGUCAGCGAGGUGGGCAAGAGUCCCUGGUUAUUCCACCUUCUGGGACCUUGUCUGGGAGGUCUCCAGGCCUGGGAUGGCAGGAGGAGAGGUCCCCUGGGUCUGUGCUCUGUGUAACUUCUCACUCCCUGGGUCAAUUUGGGAGCAGCGUGUGCAUCGCUGGCUCCGAGGUGGAGGCAGGAGAGAAGGGAAUAUGGAGAAGAGCAGCUAAAUUGCUUCAACUCCCAGAGGCUUUGUUUGUGGCCACAGGAUGCAGCUGACAAUUUGCAAGGUGCUAAUUUUGGGUUUGGUACUUCCCAGCCCCAGAGGUGGCCUCUCCCCAGGGUGCGUGCAUGAGGGAGAACCUGCGUGUGAGGGAGGUUUCUGACCAUGGGGAAAGGUGGAAAGUCUUGGGAAGGACCAGAAGGAGAGAAGUUAUGGUGUCAGGGCAUUUGGUAAGCCAUAGCCUGUGUUCAGUCCCCGUGAUCCAGCCCUUUUUUUUUGCUUUCUGGUUGGCAUAACAGUGGACUCGAGUCGCAUUCCCAUUUCACUGUGUUUGAAUUUGGUUUUGGUGUGGUGGUGAAGGUUUGUAUGGAGAGGGAGAGCCACAGUGAGUGGAGAAGAGGAGAAAAAGGAUGAGCUUUCUUUCUCCUUGGAAGUACAAAUGGAUGGAGCGGUAUUUCUGAACAAACAAGUCUCUCAUCCCUAUCUCCUGGAAGCUGCAUUAUCAGAGCACCAUCACUGUCCUCUCUUCUCCUUCCUACCCCCCCCCACCAUGAGCAGGAAUUAAAAAUACAACUAAUAAAACCCUUUUACUUUCUCCAGCAGGAGAAAAAAAAAAAAGAAAGCAAAGCAGCCUUGAAAAUGCUAAAGGACAUAAAGGGCAUUCAUGAAAGGGUUGGAUGGUGGUUAUUGCAGCAGGGGGAAAAACAUUAUUUCACUGUGCAGAUAAAAGGAAGUGGAAAAGCAGCAUAUUUAUAGCUGGGGAGCCUGGAUUCCUUGUUAAGCUGCUAUUAUCAAAUUAAUGUCAAAAUGCAUCAAACAGGCACGAGUGUUCUGGGCCCCUUAUGCAAAGUGCUUGCAAAUUGGUUACAAAUACAUUUGUUUACAGGGGACGAGGCAGGAGCGAGCUAAUUAGUCAUUGUAGCAGGGCUGUUUUCUGUCCUUUUUUUUCUAUUUUUUUUAACAUUUUUUUGGCAAUUACACAAACAAGCUGUUUUGAAGUAUAAAUACGUGCUGCAUUACAGCCCCUUUUAAAGGGAAUCAAAUAGGAAUUGUGGAUGCAGAGGGCUUGACGUGAGCAUUGUUGCCUCUCCUCCCUGGACACUGCAGCCCGUGCUGGGCACUCGGCUCCGGGAUGUGAUGUGGAAACCCACAGGAGAGCAUCAGCAGGGUGAGGUGUGGGUGGAAAGGGAACAGCUUGUGGUUUUGAUAAUGCCUCAUAGGGGGCACAGUGUCAGGAUGGGGGUGGCUGUAGCUGCUCCAGCUUGCUGAGCACUUUGGAUGCUGUGAGGCUGCAGCCACAUCCCGUGCUGGGGAUUGGCCGCUUGGAUAUGGGAUCUGUGGAGGUUUCAGUCGCCCACCAGUAUUGUGGGAAUUCCCUUUGGGUUUGGGAUAUUUUGAGGUGCUUUGGCUAUAAGCAGCAUCUGCCAGCUCAGGGUAUGAAGCACUUUGUGCCCAGCUACUUGGUACCAGCAUCGUUUUGGGGAAUGCUUGGACAUACAGAGCCUCCCAUGGUUGGGCGACAGCAUCCACUCAAUGUGAAGAAAGGAGUCUGGUGUUCCCCCAGGUGAACGUGUCUUCGGGGCUUCUUUAACCAAACCACAGGCUGUGCCUCCCAAACCUGUUAAUGAGGAAGGGAAGCAGGAAAUCUUAUCUGAUCUUCAGUGUGGGAAUGGUUGGGGAAUUUGGUUGGGGGGCAGAUGGAAACUUCCCGCUGCCCUGCAUCUUAAUGCAUCCCGUUCUGGGAUUAAAUCACACCUCUGCCACUCGGGGGAAGCUGCUAAUUGAAUCUGUUCUGAUGGGAGAGAGGAUGAAGCCAAGAGGCAUUUACUACCAUUAGUAUUAUUUUUAAUUUACUAAGAAAGAGAAAGGAGAGAGGAAGGAACACACUGUUGCCCCUCUCGUGCUGGAGGCCCCGAUGUUUCUUGGCAGAAGGUGCAAACAGCCCCGUGGCUGCUUCUGCAUUUGGAUUUGUUUGUGGUAAAUCUGCCCUUCAGGCUGGAAUAACCCUUCUGAGUAGGUCCUGUGCUACCAGAGGUGCUGGGAACAUUGAGUUUAAUGCCAUCAUAAAACCCUGCUGUGGUUUCCAUUCCCCCAGGGGGGGCAGUGACCGUGCAGGAUGGUCGUGCUCAGCACGGCUUUCAUGCCAGCAAAGCCUGGGGUGCUUCAGGUGCUGCCGUGGAUGGAGCUGGAUGGCCUCCUGGGGUCCCUCUGGGAUCAGAGCUUUCCUCCCAGAAGCCCAUGGCUUGGUGCAGUAAAGGGACAUGAGCCCGGCUGAGCUCCCCAAGCCCUGUUCAUGAGGGUAGUUGAUGACGAAGAGAUAUUUUGUGUCUCCAGCCUCCCAGCUCUCCCAUGGUUUGCAGAUGUUGGGUGUAGCACAUCACUAAGCUCAUCUGGGUGGGAACAGCACAGAAGAAAAUCUUGGAGGACCAAGAGCAGUAGGAGAGGGAAGGGCUUUCCCUCGCCUUCUGCAGGAUCUCUGAUGUUUGCUCCAGGUUUUAUUCUUGUAAAACUCAGGGUAUCAUUUCUCUGCGCCUUGGACCUGAUUUUCAGCGCUACCUUCAAACUCCAAACCUCUCGUUACCAUUUCUUGUCCCGUUGACUUUGGCGGGCUCAUUGACCCACUCCAUUGGGAUCAGGGUGCAUGAUUUUGAGGAAUGUUCCCAUUUCCAGCGUAAUCCUACCCCUGCCCUACGAGCUCUGCAGGAGCACAGCUCAGCUGGUCAGCAAAUGUGUGAGCAGCCCAUUGCAAUCAGGCUUUAACUCACGCCCAGUUGUUCCAAUCAGAACGUGUCUCUCUUCAUUUACAGCAGGGCUCUGGCUCCGGUUUGACUGUCACCUCUGAUGAUUGUUGGUGACCGUGGCAUGGGAAUGGAUCCUGCUGUGGUUUGAGCUGUGGGUGUUUCAUGCUUCCUUUUCUUGUGCAGGAGUGUGCCAGCAUCUCUUUGCUGUGAUGGUCAGAAGCAGACCUCCAGUUCCCACCCUCUGUAAGUCACACUGCUUUGUACCCUUUCCCUUGGAGAAGGCUGUGGAGUUCAAUGGUUUUGCCUUGGUGGGAUGGGACAGUGGGGCACAGACCUGGGCUUGAUUUUCUUCUGCACUGUUAAUUAGUGUAGUGAAGGCACAGCCUUUCUUGGAGUGACCAUCAGGAUUGUGUGUGGCAGUGACUUCCAGCUUCCUGGUGACCUCUUCAGUUUCCAAAUGUGCCUGAAGCACACAAGGACCUUCCGUGGUAUGUCCUUGGACAUGUUUCUCAAUGGCCUCCUCUUCCAUGUCCAGAGGGGAUGGACACACUGCCCUUCAGUUCUGGCUUCAGUACCCCCCAGGACAGGAGGUUUCUGUAGGAUUGAGGUGUCCAAGAUUUCUUAAACUCUUGCAACAAAGAGCAAAACAUUGCAGUUGUCCAGUCCUCGUGCUUGCUGAGCAAAUGGGAGAGGAUGAAGAGGUUCCCUCCAGGCUGAGGGACAGGAAUUGGGUCUUGGCCAUAGUCCACUCAAGUGGCAGGAAGGGUGUGGAAAUGCAGGAACAGACACAGCUCCAGGGAGGGCUGAGGACUCACAUGCAGUGCUUGGGGAUGUGCUGAGGGUUUGCUUGGCUCUGUUCACAGCCCAGAGCUGGUGGUUCCUGUAUGGGAGCCAUGGAGGUGGUGAUUGCCCCAAGUGUGGGAGCAGAACUCAGCAGGGGCAGGGAAGGCGCUGCCCGGUCGAUAAGGCUGCGGGCGCUGCUGGCAGUUAAUGGUAACCCAGCAUCCUCUUCCUCCCCCCAGGAAUCCCACGUGGGCAGCACGAGGGCUGAGCCGGGUUGGGGAGCGAUGUGGCCUCUCCUGAUAAGCAGCUCCAGUUCCUGCUCCUGCAGAUUUACAACCGGGGAAUGGGGAGCUCCUGCCACACGAAGGCACCUGGGCAGCCUUAGCGGGGAGGAGGAAACUUUUCUGGACUUCUGAGCCCUGGGGUCAUUCCCUGUGCCCAAACCUCUGCCUGUGUCUCCCCUCCUUCCAUGGACACUUGGCUGCCAGGCUGCAGCAUAUAAUAAAUGGCUCCCUCAUCAAAUUUGGGUGAAAUACUGUGAAUUAACUCACCAAGACUCUUUGUCCAGGCUGUCCCAGCUGAAAUGGAGACAGCUGCAGGCUGAGGAUCACUUGACCAUCCCAGGAGCUGACAGGGGCCAGGUGAGGAUGAGGAGCAAGAAGUAGAGGAAGGCAGCACUUGUUGCCCAUGAGUGAGUCCCUUCCAGGCAGUGGGAGAACCCUCCUGUGGGCUUCAUCUUCCUGGCAGCCCAGAAAGCAGCUGGUGUGCUUCUGGUGUCUCCCUCUUUCCCUUACGCUUCCCCAUGGGACCGUGCCUCCGAGUCAGCACCUCCUGAGGUGAUCUCUUUUUUUUCUUUCUUUUUUAGAAAAUAAUUUUAAAUGCAUGACUGGCAAUUCAAGAGAAAACAGGAGGAAUGGUUGUUAUUGCUGAGGAUCUCAGCCCAGCCGGAGGAGACGUGUUCCUUUUGUGGAAUCAAACAUCCGUCAGGGAUCCGUCAUGCAAAUUUAUUUCACUUUUCUUCUUUUUUACCUAUUCCAUUGAUCCAGAGCCUGUAGCAGUUGGCUCAUGGAGAGAGAGGUUUUUUAAUUCAGGAGCCUCAGUCGGUGAGGAUGGGAAUUUGCCAAAGCUCCUGGCUCAGGGGGGUGCUUUGUGCCAUGCAUGGGGACUGUGGCACUGUGGGCUGGGACACAUCCCUCCAAAGGAGAGGGGAGAGGUAUUUGCUGUGUCCCCUGGGCAUUGUGUGUGCCUGGAGUGACUUGGAAAGGCAGGAGAGUAGCUGCCAGCUCUGCCAAAGCUGCUUCCCACCAUGGGAAGGGACAAGGACACUUGGUCAUGCUGCUGGGACAGUCACUGCCAGCCCUGAGGGGUAAAUGUGAGUUAAACCCUUAAAAUCACAAGACGGUCAUAAAAAUAUCCAACUAUGAAAUUAUAUUUUAUUUUAUUAUUAUUAUUAGACUCUUCAGUGCGUCUGGGUGUUUUCAGGAGUGACCUGACAAAUUUCUCUCUGCAGCUGGGAGGUUCAGGGUCCUGUCACUUCCAACGGCAUCUUCAUGUUGAAGAGAGAUGAUUCCAGCCCGACUGCUGGCUGAGGAUCCGUGGCUGUGUCUUGGGGAAGGUGCCAGGCUGCCUUGCACAGUCUGAGUCUUCAAAGAAUCCCAGAAUGGUUUGGGUUGGAAGGGACCGUAAAGAUCACCUUGUUCCAACCCCCUGCCAUGGGCAGGGACACCUUCCACUAGACCAGGUUACUCAAAGCCCCGUCCAACCUGGUCUUGAGUCUUCUCCUUCAUCAGUCUCUUCUGCUGGGCAUGAAGAGCAGAUGGAGCUGCCUGGGCAAGGGCCAGAAGCUGGUGCUUUCACUGCUGUGGAGAAUCUUCUGUUCUGGAAGGAAGAGCCAAACCCCUCCAGGAACCGGAGCACAUCCAGCGGUCGGAGCCUGAGAAGCCUCACUCUCUGUGACAUUCUCCGUGUCCCUGCAAUGCUGUUCCUCCUCUGUUCUGCUGGAAGCACUGCUUUGUCCUUCAAGAAAAUUUCUUUUUUGCUUGACUUGAGUAUUUUUAUUUUUUCCCCCCCCCAAACCCCAUCUCUGUGUGUCUUUGCAGGUGUUCACUGUGGGAUGCAGAGGCCAAGCCCUCAGCUGAUGACUCCGGAUGAGUUAAGACACGUGUGGAUGUCCCCACCACGUGGGCUUGUGUGGCUGCAGAGGAGCCGCUGAGCAUCCCUGCUGCCGGGAGAACCAGGGAGAUUCCUCAUUAAAACAAUUUGGGAGACGUUCAUCCGAACAGAAAUCUGAAUUUAUUCUGCUCGCGCUGCCUCUCCUCCGUCUCCUCUUCCUCAGGCAGCGGAAUUUGCUGGUAUCACCUCCUUUCCCCGGGCUUCUCCUCAGCCCCAGCAAUGACUUGUCUGAAUAAUUCAACUGAAAAUUCAGGAUCGCAAGUAAAUACGGGAUAAUUGCUAACAGCUCCCAGGCAAUCCGCUGCCAGAGGGCGGCUAAACUCCCGGUGAAUUAUUUAUCUGCUGUGAAUUAUUUGCCUGGCCCUGCUACGGAAGAAAAGCUCCUUCCCAACCUUUACCUGACAAAUGGCCUGGCUGGGGGCGACUCUCCAGGUGCUGACUCAGCCCUUUCGCAGCUCCCUGCCUGCUCCUGCUGCCUGCAGCUCCCGCUGCCGGGUGCCUGGGUCGGCGCGUGGCCCUGGGGAGGUGAAGUCCCGGAUGGGGACUGGAGCCACCUCCUCCUGCAGGCAAGGUUUUUCAGCUCUUUGGUCUCUUCAGAAGCAUGGAGACCACCCCCUGGGACUCCUCCCGAGGGAACAUGGGGGCUGGGGGGUGCUGCCCCUCUCCUCUAGCUGCGGUGAUCUGGGGGCUUUCCCAGGAGCUAGCAGUGAGGGAUGUGGUGUUGAGGUGUCUGAACAGGAGCUGGAGAGGAUCAGGGUGGGCUCGGGGCUGGAAACACGGAGCCCCAGCUGGAGGCUCCGGGCUCAGUGUGGGAGCGGGUCCUGCUUGGGGGUGGGGGCUGUACAAGGCCAGAGGGGCUGUGGCCAGCCUGGGCUGGGAGGUCCCCAAAAGGGAGCCCAGCAGAUGUCACUGUGGCCUGGACCUGCUACCUUCUGGGGACCUGCCAGGGGUGGGGUGGGAUGGGAUGGAAUGGGACCCUUCCUCACCUGCAAGCCCCCAGGAAGGGCUUAGGUUGCACCCCACGUGUUGCUGUUUAAGGGGAUGCUCCUGCCUUGCAACCCUGAGAGGACCUGGGAGAAGGUCCAGGAGGACCUGGCAAAGGGGGUGACAUCCCCUGCCUGUGCCGUGACAGCAGGCUGCCCCCCCCAGAUGUGCUGUCCCUCUGUAAGCCCCUUUCCCUACUCGCCCACAGCCCAGUGGACCAGAAGCAUCCCUCCUGUCCCCUCGGGUCCCCAGGGUCCUUCAGCCAAACCCAGGUGUCCCUUUGGAGGGCCCUUGAGCAUUGCCAACACUUCCUUGGUGCCCAAGGCUUUGUGACCUGUAGGGGCUGUUCUCCUGGUUGGGGUUCCAGGAUAUGAGCCUUGCUCUCUCCAGGCCAGGUAACAGACACCAAGCAGAAACCUGCUGUGUCCCUUCCCUGGGGGACAAGGCAAAUGGGCUCCUUCCUCCUCCUCUUCCUCCCCAGCAUGAGGGCUGGUGUCCUCUGAACCCUUUGCUGCCCUCUGAGGGAGAAGUGCUGACUCCAGAUGUUUCCCUAAAUGAGAACCUUCUGCAAACAGUGCUGGAUUAGAUUUUAAUUUUGGGAAGAAAUUCUUCCCUGUGAGGGUAGUGAGCCACUGGCACAGGUUGCCCAGAGAAGCUGUGGCUGCCCCAUCCCUG
Molecule: RNA transcript, 7737 nt
Organism: Chiroxiphia lanceolata (lance-tailed manakin)
Lineage: Eukaryota; Metazoa; Chordata; Aves; Passeriformes; Pipridae
Exons: 5
Source: RefSeq, a predicted model, not a curated record